GGGAAGCCGGUGCGAAUCCGGCGCUGACCCGCAGCGGUGAUGUCGGCCUCUGGCCGGAUGAGCCCGAAUGCC
RNAcentral lists this non-coding RNA (72 nucleotides) under Nostocoides australiense. RNAcentral also lists the same sequence under 1 other name. The record is from RNAcentral. Lineage: Bacteria; Bacillati; Actinomycetota; Actinomycetes; Micrococcales; Intrasporangiaceae.